CUCCGCAGGUGGUCUUUUCAUUGUUCUGCAGUGUUGCCACACUGCAGAACAUGCAGGAACCUGGUCUUGCAAGAGACUACGACCCAAAGGUUUCCAGGAAUUUCGCCAAAGUCAUGCUCACGUGGUCUAUUGUCCGAACUCACUGUCUUGAACGCCAGGGUCAAGUAGGCCUGCCAUUGCCUACUUUCAAGAUUACGAAAAGAAAGAAGCGGUCUUAUGAAAUUCAAAUGAACUGAACGGCUCCAAUAUUUGUGUGCAAAAUGAUUACAGUCGGUGCACACUGCACAAGGGCAGCCUACUUUGGGAAAGUGCAAAAACCAAACGCGACAGCAAGAAACGGGUCACUUUUAUCCACGACAAGAUGAAAACUGAUGGUAAACUCUUUUUUGUGGGAUGAACAAAAAAAUGCACGUGUGGCUCUUCAUCCGCAAGCUACAGGCUCAGAAUGAUGCUCUCGGUAAACUGCUUUCAAAGAAGUGAGUGCUUAACAUAAAUGUGCAAAGUUUGUCGAAUAAAGUUCAUAAGCUCGAAUGCCUCCUACUUGCAAACGAUCCUCAUAUUACAGUAAUUACACAAACCUGGCUGCACGAAGGUAUAAAGGAUUCAGUUCCAAUUCCUCCAACCUACCGAAUUUUCAGAUGUGACCGGCGAGGAGGUAGUAUAGCAAUAGUUCUUACAGAUGCCAUUCGUUCUCUGCUCCUAGAACAAUAUCAUGACCACGAAAGUUUAUUUCUUAAAAUAAACUGCUGGGGUUAUUCCUUCACUGUCUGUGCCGUCUGCAGACCACCUUUAGCAAGGCCCGAAUAUCUAAGUUAUAUGACCACAUGUACCUGUUCAAAAAUGAUCGUCUGGUUCUUGCAGGCGAUGUUAACUUACCCAAUGUUCACUGGCGCGUUCAAGAUUCUGGCUCUGACAUAAUUCUGAACCUGCUUGCUGACAUUGCUUUGAUGUGUGAUCUUGUACAGACUGUUACCGAGUGCACCAGAGAGGCUGGCAAUGACCGUUCUGCACUCGACUUAGUGUUUUUAAAUUCUAAUCUAUCUAGUUAUGCAGGCUUCGUUGAAGAUGGCAUCUCUGAUCAUAAAGCAGUAUUUUUAUCCUUCUGUAUUCGUGAGAAAAAAAGGUGCACAGGCAGGAAACAAGACAUGUUGUUAAGGAUUAUUCGAAGGCUGACGACCAGGCCAUUUUGGGUCAUCUGUGGCUUUUAUGUGAUAAUCUUCCUGAUAAUGUGUCCACUGUUUGGAAUGAAAUGAGAACUCCCAUACAUUACUGCAUAAGUUUGUGCCGAGCAAACAUAUCAGGAAAAAUAGAAAUAAACCAUGGGUUACUAGAGAUAUAAUAAAUACAUUUGCACUGCAGGCUAAAAUGUGCCAGAAAGAAGAAGAAAAAAAAAAAAACCCGCUGUGGACUUACUUCAUUGAGGAAACAGCUUGCAGCUCGGAUAACCGAAGCCAAGAUUAGCUACCUCAA
Molecule: non-coding RNA, 1470 nt
Organism: Dermacentor andersoni
Lineage: Eukaryota; Metazoa; Arthropoda; Arachnida; Ixodida; Ixodidae
Source: RefSeq, a predicted model, not a curated record